CCCAUCUGACAUGGCGAACUGAUCUCCUUUAUCAUAGCCGGUCUAGACAUGGAAUAUCAACCCAUUAUCUCUACCCUAGAUU
Molecule: non-coding RNA, 82 nt
Filed under: Hordeum vulgare subsp. vulgare (domesticated barley)
Lineage: Eukaryota; Viridiplantae; Streptophyta; Magnoliopsida; Poales; Poaceae
Source: Rfam by way of RNAcentral